This 473-nucleotide long non-coding RNA is filed under the name Callithrix jacchus (white-tufted-ear marmoset). RNAcentral's name for it is "lncRNA (ENSCJAG00000079331.1)". The record is from RNAcentral. Lineage: Eukaryota; Metazoa; Chordata; Mammalia; Primates; Cebidae.
CACAGAUUCAGCCCAGGUCUCCAGCACCAGAGCCCAGGCCUGGGCGUGCCAGUGUGCCUUCUCCACAGGGUCUUCCAGGGUGUGAUUUGAAACUGGGAGCAUAGCCAUAUGGCAUCAUGACGCAGCAAUACCACCAUCAACAGUGGCUCCCGGAAGAGAGUUAUUUCCUAAAGAGUUACCUGGACACGUGGGAAAUUUCACAAUCUUUUCAACGUUGGCUUUUUUCCAUGUAAAAAGAAGCUAUCAUCUUCUGGGAAGAAAAAAGGCUGAGAAAUUCCGUGAUCUGCCAUCUGCAAGCUGGAUAAUAAGAUAAGCUGGUGGUGUAAUUUAGUCUACACUGGAAUGCCUGAGAAUCAGGAGUUAACAGUUUAAGUCUUCUUCAGAGUCCACAGGCUGGAGAACCAGAAGCUUUGGUACCCCAAGACAGGAGCAGGUGGGUGUCCUAGCUCAAGAAAAGACAGCAAAUUCACCCU